CCACACGUACCCAUCCCGAACACGACCGUUAAGCCCUCCAGCGCCGAUGGUACUUGGACCGAAGGGUCCUGGGAGAGUAGGACGCCGCCAAGC
RNAcentral lists this ribosomal RNA (93 nucleotides) under Paenibacillus odorifer. RNAcentral also lists the same sequence under 1 other name. Lineage: Bacteria; Bacillati; Bacillota; Bacilli; Caryophanales; Paenibacillaceae. The record is from RNAcentral.